CCUACGGGAGGCAGCAGUAGGGAAUCUUCCACAAUGGGCGAAAGCCUGAUGGAGCAACGCCGCGUGUGUGAUGAAGGGUUUCGGCUCGUAAAACACUGUUGUAAGAGAAGAAUGACAUUGAGAGUAACUGUUCAAUGUGUGACG
This 144-nucleotide ribosomal RNA is filed under the name uncultured bacterium. RNAcentral describes it as "partial 16S ribosomal RNA". It matches the Rfam family "Bacterial small subunit ribosomal RNA", at positions 338 to 474 of the family's 1533-position model. The record is from RNAcentral.